CCUACGGGAGGCAGCAGUAAGGAAUAUUGCGCAAUGGGCGAAAGCCUGACGCAGCGACGCCGCGUGGGGGAUGAAGGUCUUCGGAUUGUAAACCCCUUUCGGGAGGGAAGAUGGAACGAGCAAUCGUUCGGACGGUACCUCCAGAAGCAGCCACGGCUAACUUCGUGCCAGCAGCCGCGGUAAUACGAAGGUGGCAAGCGUUAUUCGGAUUUACUGGGCGUACAGGGAGCGUAGGCGGUUCGGUAAGCCCUCUGUGAAAUCUCCAGGCUUAACCUGGAACAGUCGGAGGGGACUGCUGGGCUAGAGGACGGGAGAGGAGCGCGGAAUUCCCGGUGUAGCGGUGAAAUGCGUAGAGAUCGGGAGGAAGGCCGGUGGCGAAGGCGGCGCUCUGGAACGUUUCUGACGCUGAGGCUCGAAAGCGUGGGGAGCAAACAGGAUUAGAUACCCUGGUAGUCCACGCCUUAAACUAUGAAUACUAAGUGUCGGCGGUUUACCGCCGGUGCCGCAGCUAACGCAUUAAGUAUUCCGCCUGGGAAGUACGGCUGCAAGGUUGAAACUCAAAGGAAUUGACGG
RNAcentral lists this ribosomal RNA (573 nucleotides) under uncultured bacterium. RNAcentral describes it as "bacterial SSU rRNA". It matches the Rfam family "Bacterial small subunit ribosomal RNA", at positions 338 to 916 of the family's 1533-position model. The record is from RNAcentral.